Lemur catta (Ring-tailed lemur) is the source of this 473-nucleotide long non-coding RNA. RefSeq lists it as uncharacterized. NCBI's taxonomy places the organism in Eukaryota, Metazoa, Chordata, Mammalia, Primates, Lemuridae. The transcript has 3 exons. The record is from RefSeq and is a predicted model, not a curated record.
UAGAAACAGGUCCAGCCUCUAAGUGCACCCACACACUUUUCUGGCAUUAUGAAGCUGAGCAGCCUCUCCCUGCUCGCUGUGACCGUCCUCCUUUGCCUCCACAUGGCCCAGCCUAGAAUCUGGAAGAGUCCGGCUGAGAAGAAACUUGGAUAUUGCCCAGAGUUUACUCCUUCCUGCCCUUUUACUUUGCUUCCUUCGUACUUGAGUGAUAAAGCUUGCUGGGGGGUUAAGAAGUGCUGCUACUACGGCUGCAGAUAUCAGUGUAUGGACCCGUGGGAGACUUUGGACUGAGGUGGAAACCUCUUUUUAACCAGGCCUGUGGAGACACUAGUGCUGCAGGCUCAGACACGGAUAACUGGUCUCCAAUUCUUCCAUGCUCCUCCCAAGCCCAAGGCUUGCUUUUGGCAAGAGUUAAAUGCUUACUAAUAUAACAACAAAACAAAGAAAUAAAGCAUCAUCUAUUUGAAACUCCA